Molecule: ribosomal RNA, 511 nt
Filed under: uncultured bacterium
Lineage: Bacteria
Description: partial 16S ribosomal RNA
Rfam family: Bacterial small subunit ribosomal RNA
Source: RNAcentral
GACGAACGCUGGCGGCGUGCCUAAUACAUGCAAGUCGAGCGGAAGUUGGAGAGCUUGCUCUUCAACUUUAGCGGCGGACGGGUGAGUAACACGUGGGCAACCUGCCCUGCAGAUCGGGAUAACUCCGGGAAACCGGUGCUAAUACCGAAUAGUUUUCGCCACCUCCUGGUGGCGUACGGAAAGACGGUUUCGGCUGUCACUGCAGGAUGGGCCCGCGGCGCAUUAGCUAGUUGGUGGGGUAACGGCCCACCAAGGCGACGAUGCGUAGCCGACCUGAGAGGGUGAUCGGCCAAACUGGGACUGAGACACGCCCCAGACUCCUACGGGAGGCAGCAGUAGGGAAUCUUCCGCAAUGGACGAAAGUCUGACGGAGCAACGCCGCGUGAGUGACGAAGGUUUUCGGAUCGUAAAACUCUGUUGUGAGGGAAGAACAAGUACCACUUAACUACUGGUACCUUGACGGUACCUCACCAGAAAGCCACGGCUAACUACGUGCCAGCAGCCGCCGUAA